Non-coding RNA from Elaeis guineensis (African oil palm), 3636 nucleotides. The record is from RefSeq and is a predicted model, not a curated record. NCBI's taxonomy places the organism in Eukaryota, Viridiplantae, Streptophyta, Magnoliopsida, Arecales, Arecaceae.
AUGAAGCUGCAGUUUCGCAGUAGUUCAAAUGGGUGCUUAUUCUUUUGUUAGCUUAUCAGCAAAUAAUUGCGAUAUCAUAGUUUUUCUUCAUUAAUGUACUUUGUAAACACUGAGUUGCUUCGAAGUUCGACCAUAUUCACGCUGAAUCAAGAUUUUGGUCAUUAACAAUGCUGUUCAGUGUGACUGACUACAGAUUAUUCAUAUAAAAUAUUAAUUGGCAGCACUACAACUCCCUAUUUUACCUUGCGGUGUGCAUGAAUGCUGUGCGAACCUUGAGAACUGUAGUAGGUGUAUUAUUUAUGCUGUUUGUUUAAGCUGGAAUUCAAAGGAAAUGCAUAAUUAAUUAGCUCAUUCUUGAUGCACAAUGUUAACAAAGCUAAUUUCUUAGUCUCAACAGGCAUACAAACUCUCUCCCAACCAAUUUUCAGGUGAUCUUUGUUGUGCCUAUCAUCUUUAUGGGAUGUUCCUGUCAAUCCCUGACCACUCUUCAUCUGACCUUCUUAUUGUUAUUAUUUUUUCUGCUGUAAAUGAUCAUUUCAUUCUAAUCAUUUCACCUUGGCUCAUAUAUUUCCUAUGAUAUACUGAAUUAUGAUUCAAUUAUUUCUAGUUCAUCAUCUCUUCAACAGCAUAAUGUUGCAUAUGGUGGUCUUAUUUGCAUUAUCUUUUGUACUGGAUAUUCUUAUCCAUGUAAUGCUGCUGGUCGUAGGUGCCUCUAGUAACUUUAGAGAAAAAAAUGUAAGAGAUAACAAGAUAAUUCUGAUAAACACUGGAAAGACAUCUAUAGUUUGUUAUAAAACUUCACCACCAUUCUCAUUUACAAUUUAAGCUAACUUAAAUACUUAUUCAAGUCUACUUCUUUGUUAUCAGUCCUGCUUUGGGCUUCGUUCUAGAUAAAUUCUAUCUGUUCAUGGUAUAUUUAGCUUUGUCAAAUUACUUGGACAAUCAGAGCCCUUCAACCAAAUCUGCAAAUCAUGAUUGGCCUUACAGCAUUUGUUAGGACUGUGAAUGCCAAUAGUUUUAGCAAAUGUUGUAUAUGAAAGUUAAGAAAGAAUGCCUAGAAGUUUUUCACCACCACAUUGAAUAGAUUGUUGUUGCAAUUUCCUGUCAACCUUCUUAUUGUCAUGCAUCAUGUGUCUUCAAUCCUUUUAAUACAACCUUAAGAAUAUCUCUACGUGCCCACAAAAUUAAGCUAGACUUGGUCAUAGGCUUUUUACAUUGAUAACAAUAUCUGCAGUAUCAUUGUUGCUUGGAAUUAUUCAUCAAGUUGAUUGAUCAUAAUGUAGCCAUAAUUGUUGACCUUCUUAUCAUAGAUGAAGUUUCCUUUAUUUUAACCUCUUGUUAGCGCAUGGUCAUAAUUUAUCAUGGGAAUGUUUGUGGUUCAAAGACAGGGUGUUGGGGAUGGAGGAGAUAAGUACCACACAGGUCACUUUCAUUUCUAGGGAUCUUGCCUAUCACUAAAGCAAAGUGAACUUUAUAUAACAAAUAUGAUACCAACUUCAUCAUGAAAAAGCAGGCUGUAGAAUACUUACACUUAAGAGGGUUAAGAAUUGUACAGAUUAGAAUGUUGAGGUGGACCAUUAUAACUUGAAGUGUAGAAUUAGGAAGGCUGUGAGCGGCAUUAAUGGAGUCAAAGUGAGGUUAAACAUCUGAAUGCUUUGGGCAUGUGCAGCUUUGGCAAAAGAUAACCUUAAAUGGAAGAGGUCUUAAUUAUAUGUCAAAAUGUGUUUAUGCAUUUGUGUACAGGUUGAAGUGCCUGAAAAUAUGAGGGGAGGCCAAAGAAGAUAUAAUGUAAGCAUGAUUUAAAGAAUCUUUCUAUGUUGUUAACUAACCAUGUGAAUGCAGAAGUUUAAGGAAUGGGUCAAUAUGUAUAUGUGCGACCUGGACCGCAGACAUGGUGGGAUAAUUGAAUUGAAUUAAAUAAAUAUUGAGUUGGAGGGGAUAUGAUGAACUCUCAACAUCUAACAACCUUAACUCUGAUACUGUGUCAACCAACCAUUUGAUCCCAAAAGCUUAAGUUGUUAGAGAAUAGGUCAGCACUGUAUAUCAGGCUUAAUAUGAUUCAGUGGUCUUGUAGAUAGGCUUUGGGUAGUAAACAUGAAAAUAAUAUAAUUUUAGACUUUUUAUCUCAAGUGUUAUUAAAUUUGUUGUGACUUACUUCAAUCCGAGUCUUCAUGAUGGCAAAUUCAAUACUUGGACAUUAUGUUUCUUGUUGGUGUUUAUCCAUGAAGGAGAUUCAAUUUCACUGAUCUAUCUUUGAGGCCAAAUAAUUGGCAUGCAUCUCAAAAUGUACUUCAGACUUUUAGAGUUGUUUAACAUGUAGUAUUCAAUAUCAGAUUGCAUUAUCAGUGCUUUGUUUGAAAUUAGAUUGUUAAUAUGGUUCAGUAGGUUGUGCAUAGGUUAUUUUGCAUGCAUGAAGCUUCAUGCUCAAGAUGACUUUUCUUCCCUGUGCUCUGAAUGUGAUUUGUUAGGUCAAUGAGUUAAAGGUGUGGAAUAUCUAUGGAUAUCAAAUGCUGAUUCUAGUGUCACAAAAAUAGCAAGGUUAGAGAUAAAAAAGGUUAAGGUUUUCUAGGUGCACUUUUUUAUGUCUUUUCAUUCUGUCCUUACUAAAAUCCAUAUGCAUGUUUGUUAAACAUAAUGGUAUACAUACCGUAUGUAAUAAUGCAAGUCUUCAAUAAAAGGCACCAUGUGUGUAUAACAGGGAAAGGCGAUGUUGGUAUUAGAAACAUGGACACAUUUAUGGCUCUUCUUGACCGGUGGCUGUGACAAUUCGACAAUGAAGUGGAAGAAGCUAUAUUUGCUUAGUGGAGCUAUGGAAUCUAAUGCCUCGAUUCGACCUGGGCAGGCGUUGCCGGAUGCCCGUCCACAUCGCGGCGGUGGGGGGUGGCGUUGGGGGGAGACCUUGAUGCUGUCCGCCUUUGCGUCGCCUCCGACGAUGGCGAUCUCGAUCGGACCGACUCCCGCGAGUGGACCCCACUCCACUAUGCCAUUGCCGGUGGAUACCUGGAUGUUGUCGAGUUCUUGAUCGAUCGGUCUGCCUACGACGCUCGGCUCGCGCGAACGAGAGACGGACGGAAGAUGUUGUUCGACCUCGCCAUCGACUGGUGCCAUACGGGGGUCUACGACGCACUCGGAUUGAGCGACGCACUCCACCGGGUGGCGUGUUGCAGCGACAUCGUCGACGUGUGGAGCUGCCUAGCAUGGGGGGCGGCGGUGGAUGGGAGGGACCAGAAUAGGUGGACGGUGCUCCAUCGGGUGGACGGCGCUGAUUGACGGCAGAGUGCAGUUGGAUACGAUGGAUCAGGAGGGUUUCUUUGGAUAAAAUAUAUUCGUGCCGUUGAGAGGGCUUUUUUGGCUUCUUCACUUUCUCCAUUUGAUAAGAAGAGGGGGAUAGUUACCAAACAUACUUUUUGCUUUUUUGCUUUUGUUCUGUAGCAAAAAUCAAAAAAAUAAAAAGUAUUUUGUAGAAAGCAAAAAUCAAAAAUCAAAGUGUAACCAAAUGCACUCUAAAUGGACUAGUUUAAUGGAAUUAUCUGUAAUAUUAUAACAUGAAAGGCUGUGCCUGUUGUUGUGUAGCCAUGUGUGGCUACAGACCAUCAAGUAGGAAAACAGAUUGGGAGAUGAAGUGUCUCUUUCUUC